Molecule: transfer RNA, 87 nt
Filed under: Hominimerdicola alba
Lineage: Bacteria; Bacillati; Bacillota; Clostridia; Eubacteriales; Oscillospiraceae
Also listed under: 1 other name
Description: tRNA-Leu
Rfam family: tRNA
About the family: Transfer RNA (tRNA) molecules are approximately 80 nucleotides in length. Their secondary structure includes four short double-helical elements and three loops (D, anti-codon, and T loops).
Source: RNAcentral
GCAGGUAUGGCGGAAUUGGCAGACGCGCUAGCUUCAGGUGCUAGUGGGGGCAACCCCGUGGAGGUUCAAGUCCUCUUACCUGCACUA